This 434-nucleotide ribosomal RNA is filed under the name uncultured bacterium. RNAcentral describes it as "partial 16S ribosomal RNA". It matches the Rfam family "Bacterial small subunit ribosomal RNA", at positions 29 to 507 of the family's 1533-position model. The record is from RNAcentral.
AGCGAACGCUGGCGGAAGGAAGAACACAUGCAAGUCGAACGAACCUUUCGGGGUUAGUGGCGGAAGGGUGAGUAACACGUGGGAACGUGCCUUUAGGUUCGGAAUAACUCAGGGAAACUUGUGCUAAUACCGAAUGUGCCCUUCGGGGGAAAGAUUAAUCGCCUUUAGAGCGGCCCGCGUCGGAUUAGCUAGUUGGUUGAGGUAAUGGCUCACCAAGGCGACGAUCAGUAGCUGGUCUGAGAGGAUGAUCAGCCACAUUGGGACUGAGACACGGCCCAAACUCCUACGGGAGGCAGCAGUGGGGAAUCUUGCGCAAUGGGCGAAAGCCUGACGCAGCCAUGCCGCGUGAAUUAUGAAGGUCUUAGGAUUGUAAAAUUCUUUCACCGGGGACGAUAAUGACGGUACCCGGAGAAGAAGCCCCGGCUAACUUCGUG